UACGUAGGGGGCAAGCGUUGUCCGGAUUUAUUGGGCGUAAAGAGCGUGUAGGCGGCUUUACAGGUCCGUUGUGAAAACUCGAGGCUCAACCUCGAGACGCCGGUGGAAACCGUAAGGCUAGAGUCCGGAAGAGGAGAGUGGAAUUCCUGGUGUAGCGGUGAAAUGCGCAGAUAUCAGGAAGAACACCCGUGGCGAAGGCGGCUCUCUGGGACGGUACUGACGCUGAGACGCGAAAGCCAGGGGAGCAAACGGG
Molecule: ribosomal RNA, 253 nt
Filed under: uncultured bacterium
Lineage: Bacteria
Description: partial 16S ribosomal RNA
Rfam family: Bacterial small subunit ribosomal RNA
Source: RNAcentral